GAUGAACGCUGGCGGCGUGCCUAAUACAUGCAAGUCGAGCGAACAGACGAGGAGCUUGCUCCUCUGACGUUAGCGGCGGACGGGUGAGUAACACGUGGAUAACCUACCUAUAAGACUGGGAUAACUUCGGGAAACCGGAGCUAAUACCGGAUAAUAUAUUGAACCGCAUGGUUCAAUAGUGAAAGACGGUUUUGCUGUCACUUAUAGAUGGAUCCGCGCCGCAUUAGCUAGUUGGUAAGGUAACGGCUUACCAAGGCGACGAGGCGUAGCCGACCUGAGAGGGUGAUCGGCCACACUGGAACUGAGACACGGUCCAGACUCCUACGGGAGGCAGCAGUAGGGAAUCUGCCGCAAUGGGCGAAAGCCUGACGGAGCAACGCCGCGUGAGUGAUGAAGGUCUUCGGAUCGUAAAACUCUGUUAUUAGGGAAGAACAAAUGUGUAAGUAACUAUGCACGUCUUGACGGUACCUAAUCAGAAAGCCACGGCUAACUACGUG
Molecule: ribosomal RNA, 497 nt
Filed under: uncultured bacterium
Lineage: Bacteria
Description: partial 16S ribosomal RNA
Rfam family: Bacterial small subunit ribosomal RNA
Source: RNAcentral